RNAcentral lists this long non-coding RNA (853 nucleotides) under Rhinopithecus bieti (black snub-nosed monkey). Its description in RNAcentral is "lncRNA (ENSRBIG00000046035.1)". The record is from RNAcentral. Lineage: Eukaryota; Metazoa; Chordata; Mammalia; Primates; Cercopithecidae.
CUGGCCUAAGGAGCUGUGGGUUUGAUGCCUCUUCCCUGCCUCCUGCAUUCAAAAGGAGUAUAUGUUACCUAGGUAUCACCUGGCCACUUGUGACCCUAACAGAAGCAAUGAAUAAAUCUGGAAGCAAAAACAAACAGAGAAACCAGAGAAGAAGGACCUUGGAUAUGAAGAGUCAGCCUGCCUUCCCAGCACGCAAGUUAUUAGGUCCUGUGUGGUGCUUUCAGAUCCUUUGUGGUGUAAUCAGGCAGAUCCAGGUCUCAGGAGCCCUCGGGGAAGGUUUGGUGGCUGCAGAAAAGGACUUUCUCUGAGAAUCCAGAAGUGACAUCAGGGAAGAACCUCAAAGGAUCCAUGGUCCCCCAACACAGCAAGUCAGUGCAGCUCCUAGAAUCCCUUCCUUCAGGGAGGCCCAGAGAAAUAAAGUGUUAAGAGGCCUUACCCUCAGGCGACAUCUUCUUUCAGCCUCUGUGGCUACAGUAUGUACAGUGUGCUGAGUGGGGAAGGACCUCUCUCCCUGUUAAAUCUGUAGUGCGACCACAUGGAAGGCAUCUGAGGACCUAGAGCAAGGAGACGUGGCUAUCCUGCCCCACUGUGGUCCCAAUCUAGGUACUGAAUCAGCAUCUUCCAAGGAUUUUAAAAUAGAAACCCCAGUUUCCAGCCCACACCAAUGAAUCAGAAUCUCUCAGGAAGGGGCUCAGGGAAGCUGUGUUUUUAAAAACUCCAAGUACCUUACCUUCUCACCAUCAUGAAAAUAGAAAUGAACGAAAUUAAUGAGGCAAAAAUUUCCAGGCACUGGACCAGGGGCACAGUGCAGAACUGUGAUCUCUGAGAGGAGGACAACACUUAAGGGAGGGAG